This is a long non-coding RNA of Zea mays, 854 nucleotides long. RefSeq lists it as uncharacterized. The transcript is spliced from 2 exons. Lineage: Eukaryota; Viridiplantae; Streptophyta; Magnoliopsida; Poales; Poaceae. The record is from RefSeq and is a predicted model, not a curated record.
CAUGGUGGCCGCCGUGCUCCCUGCUCCUCCUUUGGCGAGCGGCUGCAGCAGGGGGCCUUCUUCCCCAGCGGCGCCUCUGCUCUCCCUCCCCAGCGCCCCUUCUUCUUCCAUGGAUUGCAGCAGCUCGACCCUCCUCUCCAUGGCGCGAGCUUCAUUUUUCAGAGCCGCCGAAGCUCCUCCUCAUGGCGCCCCCACUCCCUGCUACAUCUUCUCUCAGCCUCCUCUCACCCUCCCAAGACAGCCAGCGCAGGGGCCUUCUUCCCCAUGGAGGCCGAGCCCCCUGCUCCCAGCCGUGACGCCCAGAAUUUUUUUCCAGCAGAGAGCCUCUUCCCAUGGGCGCCACCCCCCUGCAGCUUCCCCUUGCCGGCGCCCAGAAAUUGCAGCAGUAGCUCUUUCUCCCCAGCCUCCAAUCCCCUGCAAGUGACCCUCUGCUCGGCUCCCUCUUCCCAGCAGCAAGCUCCGGAUUUCUGUACGCCGACAUGGGGCUGCGCAGUCCCGACCCAAGGCGUCGCGUGGGUGUUGGACAACCCCACGCUACAUCGUCGAUCUGCGCGGUUUGACUGUCUCCGCGUCUCGCUUCGCCGAAUCUGCGCAGCGCCGACGUGCCAUCGUGGGAACCCGUGCCCUUGUCGACGUCACGCCUUGCGCAUCGCUCGUCGGCAAAGAGCCCAAACUAAUGGCAUGCAUGCGCGGCACGAGUCGGCCAGGUUGUUCGCCUUGUAUGAUUGCGAUUUAUUUUACUUACGUAUUCGGUCGAUGAUGUGCCUGCAUGUUUAUAUGUGUGUAAAAUGUUUCGGUUAUGCGCAUUGGUAGAAUCGCGUUUGCGAUUGGAGAACAAGAGGUUAUUUGAGGUA